GAUGAAGAACGUAGCGAAAUGCGAUACGUAAUGUGAAUUGCAAAUUCAGUGAAUCAUCGAGUCUUUGAACGCACAUUGCGCCCCCUGGUAUUCCGGGGGGCAUGCCUGUCCGAGCGUCAUUGCUGCCCUCAAGCACGGCUUGUGUGUUGGGCCCCGUCCUCCGAUCCCGGGGGACGGGCCUGAAAGGCAGCGGCGGCACCGCGUCCGGUCCUCGAGCGUAUGGGGCUUUGUCACCCGCUCUGUAGGCCCGGCCGGCGCUUGCCGAUCAACCCAAAUUUUUUAUCCAGGUUGACCUCGGAUCAGGUAGGGAUACCCGCUGAACUUAAGCAUAUCAAUAAGCGGAGGA
This 346-nucleotide unclassified non-coding RNA is filed under the name soil metagenome. RNAcentral's name for it is "partial contains 5.8S ribosomal RNA, internal transcribed spacer 2, and large subunit ribosomal RNA". The stretch from base 1 to 119 matches the Rfam family "5.8S ribosomal RNA", at positions 35 to 154 of the family's 154-position model. The record is from RNAcentral.